CAAAACAAAAAAAAACCCAAAAUAUGAAUAUCUCAACUCCAAACUGCCCAGCCUCCACCAGCCCUGCCCAUUCCUGUUGCUCCCUCUCCUCCCUUUUCCUAGCCUCAGGAGGGCUGCCCUCCAUGCAUUGUAACCCCCAACCUUCCAAAGGGCAUGACCCUUCCCCAUAGCCACAUCAUCAAAGGAGGGGCAGCUCAGCCUUAUGCUUCUGCCUGAAAUGGUUCCAGAUGUGGGGCCUGCAGAAAAGGCAGGGUGAAGGUUCAGCACAAAGCUAGGUUUCCUCCUGGAGGUUGCCCUAGGGGAGGCCCAAGCCCCUCCCACCCCUGGCACCUGGUCAGUAAAUGAGAGCAGAACAAGGCCACUGAUGGGAUGAUGGUUCAGGGAAAGAGUCUGUCAAGAGCCUGGGGAAGAGGAACCCUUGUGGGGCCUGGGUGUCUGGGGCAAGAGGGAGGCUGAAGCCCAUUCUGGGUUUGCAUUCCUCACUCUAUCCAGCCUUGCUGGAUCUGAGGCCUGGGGCAACUUCCAGGGUGGGGUUCUCCAGGCUGAGCAAGGAGGCCCAGGACUGAGCGAUUUAGAUCCCUCCUACUACUCCUCAAAGAAAUGCCAUUAUAGAUGGGGGAAACUAAGCCCAGGGCUCCAAAUUGGCUCCUGACUAAUGGUUCCUGUGCAGGCCUCUCCCAUGGGGAUCCUUAUUCAGGGCCCCAAAUGUUCCUGGGGGCAUGGCAGGGUCUGGAUAUCACUGUGGCUUGGGUAGAGGAGGGACAGGUGAGACAUGAUGCUGGUCUAGAGAUACAUCCAGGUGGUUCAGCUCUGGGUAUGAAUGAAGAUGAGGCAGAGCCCAGCCUAGCUCUGGGAAAAUCUCAGCUCCUACUCCACAGUCUUCUGGGACUCAAGACAGCACCUCCUGCCUGAG
RNAcentral lists this long non-coding RNA (913 nucleotides) under Homo sapiens (human). Its description in RNAcentral is "HSALNT0095194". The record is from RNAcentral. Lineage: Eukaryota; Metazoa; Chordata; Mammalia; Primates; Hominidae.